GAUUCUCUAGUAUAAUUAGUAUAUUCGACUUCCAAUCGAAAGGUCUUGAGGAUUA
This 55-nucleotide transfer RNA is filed under the name Strongyloides venezuelensis. RNAcentral's name for it is "tRNA-Gly". The record is from RNAcentral. Lineage: Eukaryota; Metazoa; Nematoda; Chromadorea; Rhabditida; Strongyloididae.